GACGAACGCUGGCGGCGUGCCUAAUACAUGCAAGUUGAGCGCUGAAGGUUGGUACUUGUACCCACUGGAUGAGCAGCGAACGGGUGAGUAACGCGUGGGGAAUCUGCCUUUGAGCGGGGGACAACAUUUGGAAACGAAUGCUAAUACCGCAUAAAAACUUUAAACACAAGUUUUAAGUUUGAAAGAUGCAAUUGCAUCACUCAAAGAUGAUCCCGCGUUGUAUUAGCUAGUUGGCGAGGUAAAGGCUCACCAAGGCGAUGAUACAUAGCCGACCUGAGAGGGUGAUCGGCCACAUUGGGACUGAGACACGGCCCAAACUCCUACGGGAGGCAGCAGUAGGGAAUCUUCGGCAAUGGACGAAAGUCUGACCGAGCAACGCCGCGUGAGUGAAGAAGGUUUUCGGAUCGUAAAACUCUGUUGGUAGAGAAGAACGUUGGUGAGAGUGGAAAGCUCAUCAAGUGACGGUAACUACCCAGAAAGGGACGGCUAACUACGUG
RNAcentral lists this ribosomal RNA (497 nucleotides) under uncultured bacterium. RNAcentral's name for it is "partial 16S ribosomal RNA". It matches the Rfam family "Bacterial small subunit ribosomal RNA", at positions 28 to 507 of the family's 1533-position model. The record is from RNAcentral.